This 22-nucleotide microRNA is filed under the name Aedes aegypti (yellow fever mosquito). RNAcentral describes it as "Aae-Mir-76_5p* (star (passenger))". Lineage: Eukaryota; Metazoa; Arthropoda; Insecta; Diptera; Culicidae. The record is from RNAcentral.
CGGGUUUCGCGGCGAACGGGCU